GUCGUCUUGCUCAAGCUCUGGCCGGCGCGUGACGGCUCCCACAUUGUCGGCGUCGGUCACGUCUUUCUGCUUUUCUUAUCAGCUUUAAUUUCAGUCUUGUUAUAGUGGUUGUGGGGUGCGGAGAUUAGUUGCGGUUUCUAGAUCUGGUUGCUCCUUUUGGUGUAACCUCGAUUAAAGCUUUUAUCACUGGAUCUGGUCGAGCUAUGGAUCUGGAAGAUGAGUAUGGUGGUGAGCUCGCUCUUGGGUGGAGUCCCUCCUCUCGUCUAGCUUCGGUUGUGUGGUUUUAGCUUGUUAUGAGGCUGUUGGUUAGUUUUAAAUGCAGAUUUUUUCUGGCCUUCG
Molecule: long non-coding RNA, 339 nt
Organism: Arabidopsis thaliana (thale cress)
Lineage: Eukaryota; Viridiplantae; Streptophyta; Magnoliopsida; Brassicales; Brassicaceae
Product: other RNA
Exons: 2
Source: RefSeq